GGCAGGACCAGGGUGAGUGUGCGCAGGCGCUCUGCCUAUGCUGAGCUGCUGGUCGCAGUACACGCCUGGGUUCUGUAGGGAGGGUUCAGUCUUUCCGGCUGCGGAGGGAGCGGGAGAGGGUUCAAGAUGGAGUCCGACGCGCACGGUGGAGGAGCCAGCAGGGCAGCCGAUGAAGACCCUGGUGCCGCGGAAUUUGCAGUGGGCACAGCACGUGGUAGCUGCAGCGAGCCGGGUGGUGCUGGUGGCCAGGAUGACCCUGGCGACCCAGCUGGCCCUGGUGAUGCCAUCAGCCGUGGAGUUCAUGGAGGCGCUGGUGACCUGGCUGGUCGCAGAGGCCCCAGCGCUGCAGGAGAGUCAAGUGGUGCAGCUGGUGCCAUUCUGCAGAUCCUGGGGCCAUCACACGCUCCAGGGCCUGGUGGAGCUACUCCACCUGCAGCCGCAGUUCUGAGUAAUUGAGCCUUCCAGUUCAGCCUCACUGUGCCUUUCACAUCACACAUGGAUGCGGGCCUUGUCCGCCACUUCCUGACUGCACGUACUCAACUGCGAGGGCCGAUUUGGAAGGAGCUCGACGUUAAUGGUCGCAUGCUGGUUCUCCGAUUGACUGCUGAAGACCCUGGCCUGCUCCAGAACUCCAUCGUCUUCUGUCUGGAGCAGCUUUCCCUGGUGAUGCGGUCCUUGCAGCGUUUGGGGGGCCCUGUUUCUCGGCACAGAAGAAGGUUUUAAACCCAGCCUAUGUGCCCUAGCUUCAGGUGUCGUUCCCCAGGGCAUUGCUUUUCUGCAGUACUUUGAUCGGGCUUCAUCUUAUGUCUGUGCUGCUUUUUGGGGCUCAGUGUCUACAUAGUUGUUUGGAGAUUGUUAACUGCAGAAAAUAAAACUGAGCUUUUGUGCUGUC
Molecule: long non-coding RNA, 892 nt
Organism: Bubalus bubalis (water buffalo)
Lineage: Eukaryota; Metazoa; Chordata; Mammalia; Artiodactyla; Bovidae
Exons: 3
Source: RefSeq, a predicted model, not a curated record